Molecule: long non-coding RNA, 648 nt
Organism: Arabidopsis lyrata subsp. lyrata
Lineage: Eukaryota; Viridiplantae; Streptophyta; Magnoliopsida; Brassicales; Brassicaceae
Exons: 2
Source: RefSeq, a predicted model, not a curated record
CUUAGAUCCUCCAUUCUUUCUUCGAAAUCCUCCAUUUUUUCUCAUAUUUUUUUUAAAUGAGAAGUCGAGAACCAUCCACUAUCUUUUAAUAUUUUUUUGUUUUAAAUCUAUAUUAAAAAAAUCCACGUUUUUAUUUUCUUCAUAAUCCACGAUCCCUAACACAACUUCAAAUCUCAAAAUCGUUUUAUUGCAAAUGCAGAUGUAGCAGUACUUACUUUUAAUGUAAAAACAGUUCCUAAUCAGGCCUCAAAAUCGUCCUUCAUGCUCGACCACGAGUAUAAUGCGUCCAUCAAUUCCCGGUCCAUCCUCGGCGUUUAUUCAAUACAAACAGCAAGAGAACAAAAAGUUUGGAUCCUCAAGCUUAGCUUCAAAGAAAUUAAAAUAUUAUUAGAUCCUCAAACCAUGAUUGGAUCAUCAAAUCAAGGUUUCAAUGAAGAAGUUAUUUUUAGAACGAAAUGGAAAGAGAAGCAUGUUCGGUUUGCUAGGAAAUUCGGAGAUGGAGCAAAGACUUUCCACAACCAGUAACGUAUAGAUUGACUUUUUAUAUUUAUAAUUAUGUAGUACGCUCACAAAGUUUGUCGUAUUUCAUCAAUAAUUUGUUUGUUUCAUAUAUUUUUUUUAACUAUAUAAGAUAAUGGAUUCAAUGCA